RNAcentral lists this unclassified non-coding RNA (678 nucleotides) under Leishmania donovani. RNAcentral's name for it is "gene:unknown". The record is from RNAcentral. Lineage: Eukaryota; Euglenozoa; Kinetoplastea; Trypanosomatida; Trypanosomatidae.
ACAUACACUACCCGCGUGCCCAGUAGCGUUAUCACGUUUCGAGACAUCCCCUGUGUAAUGUGGGCGGGCCCACAUUACACAGGUACAUCCGCCAGCACACGGGGAGACGGAGGGCAGAGAGCGGCUCUUCUCUAUUGCCGUGGGCUGCACUGCGUUGUGCUCUUGCUUAUGAUCGUUCACGGUUAGCUCCUUUUCAUCAUCGUGGACGGCCUGUGACUCUCGGGACGCACCAUCAGAAACGCAGGGCAACAGCCGCAGCAGGCAACAACCACAGCAGCUGCGCAGAAAGCUAUACAAACGUUGGCGACACCCUCGCCUGAAACGCCUCCUGACGACGGCGUCAGGCACCUCCACGCUCUACGCGUAGACACAAGCACAAGUAACCUUCCUUGCGAGGGCUCUCACGCGCCUUAGCCUCUUUCUCGCCCCUUACUUCCCUUUCCCUAUGUCGCAAAGGAGCAGGAUUUGUCUCGUCGUCGUCUGCUUCAGUUUUCUUCUUCACGUUGUCGGAGGUAUGUCACUCAGGUCUCAAUCUCCUCUCCAAGGACACUCGGGUGCACGUAACGCGCAAUCGUUCUGGCCACCGCUUCCCUCUCUCCAUCUGUCUUCCUAUCUUCUCCUUUUUUCAUGAUUUUUUUUUUACUUCCUUUUGUUUCUGUCGCGCUCCGUUGCCUUUAG